AGUGAACGCUGGCGGUAGGCCUAACACAUGCAAGUCGAACGGCAGCACAGGAGAGCUUGCUCUCUAGGUGACGAGUGGCGGACGGGUGAGGAAUACAUCGGAAUCUGCCCAGUCGUGGGGGAUAACGAAGGGAAACUUACGCUAAUACCGCAUACGACCGUCGGAUGAAAGAGGGGGAUCGCAAGACCUCUCGCGAUUGGAUGAGCCGAUGUCGGAUUAGCUAGUAAGCGGGGUAAUGGCUCACCAAGGCGACGAUCCGUAGCUGGUCUGAGAGGAUGAUCAGCCACACUGGAACUGAGACACGGUCCAGACUCCUACGGGAGGCAGCAGUGGGGAAUAUUGCACAAUGGGCGCAAGCCUGAUCCAGCCAUACCGCGUGGGUGAAGAAGGCCUUCGGGUUGUAAAGUCCUUUUGUUGGGGAAGAAAUCUUUCAGGCUAAUACCCUGGCAGGACGACGGUACCCAAAGAAUAAGCACCGGCUAACUUCGUG
Molecule: ribosomal RNA, 490 nt
Filed under: uncultured bacterium
Lineage: Bacteria
Description: partial 16S ribosomal RNA
Rfam family: Bacterial small subunit ribosomal RNA
Source: RNAcentral